RNAcentral lists this long non-coding RNA (630 nucleotides) under Struthio camelus australis. RNAcentral describes it as "lncRNA (ENSSCUG00000008683.1)". Lineage: Eukaryota; Metazoa; Chordata; Aves; Struthioniformes; Struthionidae. The record is from RNAcentral.
CAAACAAACAAGCAAGAAACUAUGAAAGUAUCAGAGCUGAAUAAAAGAAGAGACAGCAGUAUUUCUUCUUCAUAUCCUGAGUCCAGAUACUUCGCUCUUUCCCCUAGAAGCUGCAACAUAUGAAAUUGUGAGUGUCAGACCAGUAAUUCAGUGGACUGCUACAGGCCAGAGUCUCAGCGAUUGCCCAAUAUUUAUUACCUUCUGGAAUAUUUUUAAAGGAUACCAAGAUGGGAUUGGCAUAAAAAUAGACGUGGCAGCUCUUUGGCAUAUGGGAAUUCUCCAUAGCAGAAGGACUCGUGAGGUAUAAGCUUAAGGAUUUCUUCAUACUAAUUUUAGAUAGUAUAAGGCACUUGAAAUAGGAUUUAAAAAGGUUGACCAAGACAAUUUCUUUGUUUCUUUUUUCAAGAAUGAAACAUUUGACCUUCCAAGAACAGCGUUCUGGUCUGUGGUGAAUGAAGAGGUAACAUAGAACAACUAAUAAGGGCAGAGGUAACUAUCACACUUGCAAGCUGAAGCUCAAUUAGGAAAAUACCAAGACUAUUUCUGAGUGAUAUAAUUACACUCAGCAAUUACAGUCUCACUAUUCAACAUUUUGAACAAAGCAGUGUCUGCACACAUUGUGCAUUGAUG